Non-coding RNA from Notechis scutatus (mainland tiger snake), 129 nucleotides. NCBI's taxonomy places the organism in Eukaryota, Metazoa, Chordata, Lepidosauria, Squamata, Elapidae. The record is from RefSeq and is a predicted model, not a curated record.
UUUUCUUGGAUGCCCAGAAGGCCCUCAAUAAUUUAAAUUGGAAAUUUAUGAUACAACAAAUUUAUAACAUGAACCUAGGAACUAAAUUUGAGAAUAUAAUAAAAACAAUAUAUACAAAACAAAGAGCAA